Molecule: ribosomal RNA, 1346 nt
Filed under: uncultured bacterium
Lineage: Bacteria
Description: partial 16S ribosomal RNA
Rfam family: Bacterial small subunit ribosomal RNA
Source: RNAcentral
GACGAACGUUGGCGGCGUGCUUAACACAUGCAAGUCGAACGGAAAGGCCCUGCUUUUGUGGGGUGCUCGAGUGGCGAACGGGUGAGUAACACGUGAGUAACCUGCCCUUGACUUUGGGAUAACUUCAGGAAACUGGGGCUAAUACCGGAUAGGAGCUCCUGCUGCAUGGUGGGGGUUGGAAAGUUUCGGCGGUUGGGGAUGGACUCGCGGCUUAUCAGCUUGUUGGUGGGGUAGUGGCUUACCAAGGCUUUGACGGGUAGCCGGCCUGAGAGGGUGACCGGCCACAUUGGGACUGAGAUACGGCCCAGACUCCUACGGGAGGCAGCAGUGGGGAAUAUUGCACAAUGGGCGGAAGCCUGAUGCAGCAACGCCGCGUGCGGGAUGACGGCCUUCGGGUUGUAAACCGCUUUCGCCUGUGACGAAGCGUGAGUGACGGUAAUGGGUAAAGAAGCACCGGCUAACUACGUGCCAGCAGCCGCGGUGAUACGUAGGGUGCGAGCGUUGUCCGGAUUUAUUGGGCGUAAAGGGCUCGUAGGUGGUUGAUCGCGUCGGAAGUGUAAUCUUGGGGCUUAACCCUGAGCGUGCUUUCGAUACGGGUUGACUUGAGGAAGGUAGGGGAGAAUGAAAUUCCUGGUGGAGCGGUGGAAUGCGCAGAUAUCAGGAGGAACACCAGUGGCGAAGGCGGUUCUCUGGGCCUUUCCUGACGCUGAGGAGCGAAAGCGUGGGGAGCGAACAGGCUUAGAUACCCUGGUAGUCCACGCUGUAAACGGUGGGUACUAGGUGUGGGGUCCAUUCCACGGGUUCCGUGCCGUAGCUAACGCUUUAAGUACCCCGCCUGGGGAGUACGGCCGCAAGGCUAAAACUCAAAGGAAUUGACGGGGCCCCGCACAAGCGGCGGAGCAUGCGGAUUAAUUCGAUGCAACGCGUAGAACCUUACCUGGGUUUGACAUGGAUCGGGAGUGCUCAGAGAUGGGUGUGCCUCUUUUGGGGUCGGUUCACAGGUGGUGCAUGGCUGUCGUCAGCUCGUGUCGUGAGAUGUUGGGUUAAGUCCCGCAACGAGCGCAACCCUUGUUCACUGUUGCCAGCACGUUAUGGUGGGGACUCAGUGGAGACCGCCGGGGUCAACUCGGAGGAAGGUGGGGAUGACGUCAAGUCAUCAUGCCCCUUAUGUCCAGGGCUUCACGCAUGCUACAAUGGCUGGUACAGAGAGUGGCGAGCCUGUGAGGGUGAGCGAAUCUCGGAAAGCCGGUCUCAGUUCGGAUUGGGGUCUGCAACUCGACCUCAUGAAGUCGGAGUCGCUAGUAAUCGCAGAUCAGCAACGCUGCGGUGAAUACGUUCCCGGGGCU